UACGGAGGGUGCAAGCGUUGUCCGGAUUUAUUGGGUUUAAAGGGUGCGUAGGCGGCCCGUUAAGUCCGGGGUGAAAGCCCACAGCUCAACUGUUGAACUGCCAUGGAUACUGUUAGGCUUGAGUACAGACGAGGUAGGCGGAAUGGAUAGUGUAGCGGUGAAAUGCAUAGAUACUAUCCAGAACACCGAUUGCGUAGGCAGCUUACUAGGCUGUAACUGACGCUGAGGCACGAAAGCGUGGGGAGCGAACAGG
RNAcentral lists this ribosomal RNA (253 nucleotides) under uncultured bacterium. Its description in RNAcentral is "partial 16S ribosomal RNA". It matches the Rfam family "Bacterial small subunit ribosomal RNA", at positions 524 to 776 of the family's 1533-position model. The record is from RNAcentral.